Molecule: ribosomal RNA, 542 nt
Filed under: uncultured Glomeromycotina
Lineage: Eukaryota; Fungi; Glomeromycota
Description: SSU rRNA
Rfam family: Eukaryotic small subunit ribosomal RNA
Source: RNAcentral
GGAAGUCUGGUGCCAGCAGCCGCGGCAAUUCCAGCUCCAAUAGCGUAUAUUAAAGUUGUUGCAGUUAAAAAGCUCGUAGUUGAAUUUCGGGAUCAAUGGAUCGGUCAUGCCAUCGGUAUGUACUGGUCUCAUUGGUUCUCACCUUCUAAGGAACCAUGAUGUCAUUCAGUUGAUGUUGUGGGGAAUUAGGACUGUUACCUUGAAAAAAUUAGAGUGUUUAAAGCAGGCUAACGCUUGAAUACAUUAGCAUGGAAUAAUGAAAUAGGACAUCGCAUUCUAUUUUGUUGGUUUCUAGGAUCGAUGUAAUGAUUAAUAGGGAUAGUUGGGGGCAUUAGUAUUCAAUUGUCAGAGGUGAAAUUCUUGGAUUUAUUGAAGACUAACUACUGCGAAAGCAUUUGCCAAGGAUGUUUUCAUUAAUCAAGAACGAAAGUUAGGGGAUCGAAGACGAUCAGAUACCGUCGUAGUCUUAACCAUAAACUAUGCCGACUAGGGAUCGGAUGAUGUUGAUUUUUUAAUGACUCAUUCGGCGCCUUACGGGAAAC